RNAcentral lists this ribosomal RNA (253 nucleotides) under uncultured bacterium. RNAcentral's name for it is "partial 16S ribosomal RNA". It matches the Rfam family "Bacterial small subunit ribosomal RNA", at positions 524 to 776 of the family's 1533-position model. The record is from RNAcentral.
UACGGAGGGGGCUAGCGUUGUUCGGAAUUACUGGGCGUAAAGCGCACGUAGGUGGCUUUGCAAGUCAGAGGUGAAAGCCCGGGGCUCAACCCCGGAAUUGCCUUUGAGACUGCAUCGCUAGAAGGUCGGAGAGGUAAGUGGAAUUCCGAGUGUAGAGGUGAAAUUCGUAGAUAUUCGGAAGAACACCAGUGGCGAAGGCGACUUACUGGACGACUCUUGACACUGAGGUGCGAAAGCGUGGGGAGCAAACAGG